CUUGGUUCCAUUAGAGGAAGUAAAAGUCGUAACAAGGUUUCCGUAGGUGAACCUGCGGAAGGAUCAUUACCGAGAUUGAAGGGUACCUUCGGGGCCCCGACCCUCCAUCCUGUGUGGUACGACGGAACCUCUGCUUUGGCGGGUACCCCCGCCGGCAGCCCACUAAACCUCACCGUAUUCGUGUCGUCUGAGCCCAAAUAUAACAGUCAAAACUUUCAACAACGGAUCUCUUGGUUCUGGCAUCGAUGAAGAACGCAGCGAAAUGCGAUAAGUAAUGCGAAUUGCAGAAUUCAGUGAGUCAUCGAAUCUUUGAACGCACAUUGCGCCCUCCGGCAUUCCGGGGGGCAUGCCUGUCCGAGCGUCGGUGCACUCGCCACGCGCUGGCUUGCCACGAGCUCCGCUCGACGAUGGAAGGCAUCGCUCUCGGGCGAUCCGCCCCAAAAGCAGGGUGUGGGUGUCGAACCUCUUGCCGCAGUAAACUAUUUUCGGCUUCGAGGGCCGGCAUCUGCGCCACGGCGUCUUCGGACGCGGCGUACACCACGCCCAACCUUUGACCUCGGAUCAGGUAGGGAUACCCGCUGAACUUAAGCAUAUCAUAA
Molecule: ribosomal RNA, 599 nt
Filed under: Pertusaria laeviganda
Lineage: Eukaryota; Fungi; Ascomycota; Lecanoromycetes; Pertusariales; Pertusariaceae
Description: eukaryotic LSU rRNA
Rfam family: 5.8S ribosomal RNA (bases 211-364)
Source: RNAcentral